UGCGUAGGUGGCCAAUUAAGUCAAAUGUGAAAUCCCUGAGCUUAACUUAGGAAUUGCAUUCGAUACUGGUUGGCUAGAGUAUGGGAGAGGAUGGUAGAAUUCCAGGUGUAGCGGUGAAAUGCGUAGAGAUCUGGAGGAAUACCGAUGGCGAAGGCAGCCAUCUGGCCUAAUACUGACACUGAGGUACGAAAGCAUGGGGAGCAAACA
Molecule: ribosomal RNA, 207 nt
Filed under: uncultured bacterium
Lineage: Bacteria
Description: partial 16S ribosomal RNA
Rfam family: Bacterial small subunit ribosomal RNA
Source: RNAcentral